This 308-nucleotide long non-coding RNA is filed under the name Pan troglodytes (chimpanzee). Its description in RNAcentral is "long non-coding RNA NONPTRT017305". The record is from RNAcentral. Lineage: Eukaryota; Metazoa; Chordata; Mammalia; Primates; Hominidae.
GCGGACCGGGCGGCGAGCGGCGAGCGGGCAGGACAGAGGUGGACCUCAGCAGGCUCUGCAUAACCAGCCGUGUGUGAUGAGCGGCCACACCUUGCCUCCUCUUCCCGUCCCAGGCACCAACAGCACAGAGCAGGCCAGUGUCCCCAGAGCCAUGGCAGCCACGCUGGGAGCCGGCACGCCCCCCAGGCCCCAGGCCAGGAGCAUAGCUGGGGUGUAUGUGGAGGCCUCGGGCCAGGCCCAGAGUGUCUACACCGCCAUGGAGCAGGGCCUCCUGCCUGCUGGGCUCGGGCUGGCUCUGCUAGAGGCCC